AUUGAUUUUAUGCUUGCAUAAAUGAUUUUUGGAUUCGGAGCGAGUGGCGAACUGGUGAGUAACACGUGGGUAACCUGCCCCGAAGCGGGGGAUAACAUUUGGAAACAAGUGCUAAUACCGCAUAAUUAGUUGGAACCGCAUGGUUCCAACUUGAAAGAUGGCCCUGCUAUCACUUUGGGAUGGACCCGCGCCGUAUUAGUUAGUUGGUGAGAUAAAAGCCCACCAAGACGAUGAUACGUAGCCGACCUGAGAGGGUAAUCGGCCACAUUGGGACUGAGACACGGCCCAGACUCCUACGGGAGGCAGCAGUAGGGAAUCUUCCACAAUGGACGAAAGUCUGAUGGAGCAACGCCGCGUGAGUGAUGAAGGUUUUCGGAUCGUAAAACUCUGUUGUUAAAGAAGAACAAGUGUUAGAGUAACUGUUAACACUUUGACGGUAUUUAACCAGAAAGCCACGGCUAACUACGUGCCAGCAGCCGCGGUAAUACGUAGGUGGCAAGCGUUGUCCGGAUUUAUUGGGCGUAAAGCGAGCGCAGGCGGUUUUGUAAGUCUGCUGUGAAAGCCCUCAGCUCAACUGAGGAAGUGCAGUGGAAACUACAAAACUUGAGUACAGAAGAGGAAAGUGGAACUCCAUGUGUAGCGGUGAAAUGCGUAGAUAUAUGGAAGAACACCAGUGGCGAAGGCGGCUUUCUGGUCUGUUACUGACGCUGAGGCUCGAAAGCAUGGGUAGCGAACAGGAUUAGAUACCCUGGUAGUCCAUGCCGUAAACGAUGAAUACUAGGUGUUGGAGGGUUUCCGCCCUUCAGUGCCGCAGCUAACGCAUUAAGUAUUCCGCCUGGGGAGUACGACCGCAAGGUUGAAACUCAAAGGAAUUGACGGGGGCCCGCACAAGUGGUGGAGCAUGUGGUUUAAUUCGAUGCUACGCGAAGAACCUUACCAGCUCUUGACAUCUUCUGCCAACCCAAGAGAUUGGGCGUUCCCUUCGGGGACAGAAUGACAGGUGGUGCAUGGUUGUCGUCAGCUCGUGUCGUGAGAUGUUGGGUUAAGUCCCGCAACGAGCGCAACCCUUAUUAUUAGUUGCCAGCAUUUAGUUGGGCACUCUAGUGAGACUGCCGGUGAUAAA
RNAcentral lists this ribosomal RNA (1123 nucleotides) under uncultured bacterium. Its description in RNAcentral is "bacterial SSU rRNA". It matches the Rfam family "Bacterial small subunit ribosomal RNA", at positions 47 to 1162 of the family's 1533-position model. The record is from RNAcentral.